GAUGAACGCUGGCGGCGUGCUUAACACAUGCAAGUCGAACGAUGAAGCCCAGCUUGCUGGGUGGAUUAGUGGCGAACCGGUGAGUAACACGUGAGUAACCUGCCCUUAACUCUGGGAUAAGCCUGGGAAACUGGGUCUAAUACCGGAUAGGAGCGCCUACCGCAUGGUGGGUGUUGGAAAGAUUUAUCGGUUUUGGAUGGACUCGCGGCCUAUCAGCUUGUUGGUGAGGAAAUGGCUCACCAAGGCGACGACGGGUAGCCGGCCUGAGAGGGUGACCGGCCACCCGGGGACUGAGACACGGCCCAGACUCCUACGGGAGGCAGCAGUGGGGAAUAUUGCACAAUGGGCGAAAGCCUGAUGCAGCGACGCCGCGUGAGGGAUGACGGCCUUCGGGUUGUAAACCUCUUUCAGUAGGGAAGAAGCGAAAGUGACGGUACCUGCAGAAGAAGCACCGGCUAACUACGUG
This 466-nucleotide ribosomal RNA is filed under the name uncultured bacterium. Its description in RNAcentral is "partial 16S ribosomal RNA". It matches the Rfam family "Bacterial small subunit ribosomal RNA", at positions 28 to 507 of the family's 1533-position model. The record is from RNAcentral.